Long non-coding RNA from Zingiber officinale, 2377 nucleotides. RefSeq lists it as uncharacterized. The transcript has 5 exons. Lineage: Eukaryota; Viridiplantae; Streptophyta; Magnoliopsida; Zingiberales; Zingiberaceae. The record is from RefSeq and is a predicted model, not a curated record.
CGAUCGUUUUUGAUCCCGAACCCUUCUCCCAACUCCUCAUCUCACGCGACCUUCUCCAUCUAACUCCUCUCCAGCAAACCCCUCUCUGGCGAACCCCUCUCCGUGAACCACUACUCCUCCGAACUCCUCUCCGUCAAGACCGCGGGAUUAAUCUCUUCGCCUCCGUCACCUCAUUCACGCUUCCUUCACACUGCCCAAUCUCUUUGACCACACCUUCGUCAAGCGGCAGAUCCCGGUGCUGAGGCGAUCAACCAUGACAGAUCGACUCAUCUCUUCGCCUCCUUCGCCCCUGACGUUGAGACAGUGUAACCACAGCAGAUCCCAUUGUCUUCUGGUAUGCUACUGUAACCCCAAUGAUUCGUACAAAAGGCUUUGCACCGGAAAAGAAGUGGCGUCUCCUGCCUCCGUUCCUCUUGUCUUGGCGGCGACAGUGAGGCUCUUUGCUUGAGCUCUUCCCGAUCGCCUCGCUUGUUUGCCUUCUUCCUGUCCUCCAUGUGAGGUGACAAAUUCUCCUAUUUUUGUUCCUCCUUCCCUCGACUUCUCUCACCUUUCUCGUCAGCUUAUUUGAUGGCGUCUGGAAUUUUCUUGCUCUGGUGAUAUGAAUAUGAGACGGAGUGUUCCUUCUCGUUUGUGGUCUGCGCCAAUGCUUUCCUCGACGGGUUGCUUUAGGUUUUCCUCGGCGAUUUGGCUUUUCGGCGCAGGUGUUGAUCUUCUAGGGUUUCAGGAUUUAUGCGGUUUGGAACUUUCAAUGCUUAGUUAGGUUUUUUGGUUCAUAAUGCCGACAUCUGAAAGAAAAGGUGUGUUUUGCGUGUUUAAAUCUGCAAAAUUACAUUUUUCUGCGAUUCCUAAUUCUCUAUUCAUCGAGCAUUGAGUUGAGUUUGAGCUCUUCGAAACGGUGAUUGUGGAGAAAUACUUGAGGAAGUUGUAGUUUUUCCUUUUUACCUUUCACAAAAGCCGGCAGUUUCUUUCCCAGUCUAGUAUGUCGGUAGUUUCAUGAAUCUGCCAUUUUGUUCCUUUUUCUUCAGAUCUCUCAUAGUGUUGGCGGUGGGGACAAGAGGUUAGUCUCAUGAAGCUUUGAAGCUGCCAGAACAGUUGUCAUUUUAAAUUGAGUUGAAAAAUUCGAUCAACAGAGCAUUGUGCUCCUUGUUAUGGUUGUUGCCCCAGGCAACAGCAGCAAUCUAGUGUAUUAUGUGGUUUCAUUUUUUACCUGAGCAUUUUCCUUGGUACGGUUUUCCAAGGGACUGGUUACAUCUAUCUGGGUUUUGAUUUGAGUCAAAGGCUACAAUGAAGAUGUUAAAUCCUUAAAUAAAUUCUGUACUCCAUGUGUGUUUUCCUUCUUUACUUCGGCAGACUUUGUGGUGGUAGUCAUGUCCAAGGAACUGGUUAGGUCGGCAGCUGCACAACAAGAAGAGCGCAUGCUAUCCGCAAAGCUUCAUCAGAUGACAAUGCUGGAUUCAUGAUUGAUAUGUUAAAGGAGUGUGGAUUAUCUCACAAAUCAAUAAUUUUUGUCUUGGAUGAGUUUGAUCUUUUUGCUAAGGUACGUGUAGUAACUUUUAGCCACUCACAGAAUUCUGUGCAAGUACUUCUUUACUUGCUUAUGUUCCCUUGUCAAUCCUCCUUUGUUGUUCCAUUUUUAUCUCAUUAUGCAAUGGCCUUUGCCUUAUUCUAAAUCUUUGAGCUUUUUGAUACAUGUGUAUGUAGGGAAAACAACGUUUACUUUAUAGUUUGCUUGAUGCAAUGCAAAUAAUGACUUCACAGGCCGUAGUUAUUGGUGUUAGCUACCGACUGAUAUGUAGUCUCCACAUCUCUCAUUUUUCUUUACAUUCAUAUUCAUGUCAAUAUACACUGGGCCACCCACAUUUUUUUAAUCUCUUUUAAAAAAGACAAGUAAAAGGAAAAAAUAAGGAAACAUUAAAGUUAAGAAAGUGGAAGGAUACUAAACAAUUGUUUUUAUGUAUAUUAUUAUUCUUAUUAUUCCACUUUUUGACUCCUUAAUUUUUCUUCCAAGCAUUGCUGGUUAUACUUGAUAAAGCCUCAUGUCUUAUAGGAUGCAGACUAACUUCUUGAAAAAAGAGUUCAGUGUAGGUUUUGUCCCAGUCUCAAGCCGACAAUCCUUUUUGAUUAGUAUAUCGAGUAGAAGUAAGCAUGCAGAUCGCUAUCUUCGAGGACCUUGAUUCGAGAUGAGCAUCUCAACGUGGGAUUUUCUGAUAUGAUUUCCACUUUUGAGGUUGAGGCUGUUAGGAGAUUCCAGUCGCUAGUCCCCCACCUUGUGUAGAUAUGGUUUUCUACUUUCAGACUUUGUUUCCUUGUUUUGUGAUCAACAUACUUGUGAUGUGUAGAUAUUGUACUCGUGGAUUUUAUAUAGAGUUUUGAUCUA